RNAcentral lists this unclassified non-coding RNA (200 nucleotides) under Pleosporales sp. RNAcentral's name for it is "partial internal transcribed spacer 2". Lineage: Eukaryota; Fungi; Ascomycota; Dothideomycetes; Pleosporales. The record is from RNAcentral.
UUAAGUUCAGCGGGUAUCCCUACCUGAUCCGAGGUCAAGAGCAAAUAUAUGGACUUGAUGGGGGCCAACACAAGCAAGCAAGGGGCGCAAAAUGUGCUGCGCUCCAGGCUAACAUGCCGGCUGCCAAUUGAUUUAAGGCGAGUCUUACGCAAAAGAGCGCGGGACAAACACCCAACACCAAGCAAAGCUUGAGGGUACAA